UAAGAAUUGUCGAUUACAAAUAUUUAAAGACAUUGUUUUCUAAUAGCUUUUAGUUAUUGAAGGACAACGAUUGUUUCACAUAAUUUGACAUAGUAUCAAAAUAGAUAAUUUUGAGUUCGAAUCCUGUCAGACUCUUAACUUCAGUCAAUUCAAAUCAACGUCUUGAACUUAUUAAAAAGUUUUGAGCCUAGAUGUAUCAUCCUAUGACAGCUUAGGCGCU
This 220-nucleotide long non-coding RNA is filed under the name Ananas comosus (pineapple). Its description in RNAcentral is "long non-coding RNA (ACOM_LNC000292)". The record is from RNAcentral. Lineage: Eukaryota; Viridiplantae; Streptophyta; Magnoliopsida; Poales; Bromeliaceae.